GAAUUGAAAACGUUGCCAGCUCUAUUUUCAGUACGAAGGAAUGAACGAAGGAGUAGAUCAAAAUUUUUCCGACAAUUCAGAUAAAUUGUCGAUGUGUGCAGUCGGGAAUUCUGUCAUUUUGUUCUGGCUUUAGACCACCUCAGUUGGCUAAAUCUUCAUUGUUCCUUGUUUCAAUUAUUUUGUAUUUUCAUUUAUAACCAUUAGAAGUGAUAUUAGAUAUGCCUAGCAAGUGUUCUUUGAGUGUUCCAUCCAUAGGCGUGCAGAAUCCUGAUAUUUUUCCUUGAAGCAUAUAUUCAGUUAUAAUUAAAACUAAUCCAAAACUAAUUUAUACGACUAAUAAAUUUUUUUUAAGACUUCCAUCGAAUCAACUUGAACGAGAAAAAUGGUUGCAGAUAAUUUCUUGGAACCGAACGAUGUUGGAAAAAAAAAAUUUUUCUUUGCUCAAAUCACUUUCCUGAAGAUUGCUUCCGACUAAUGAACCUAAAAAAGAAGUUUAUUCCAGGAAGUUUGCCUUCUCGUUCUGAAAUCAAAUUGGAAAUACCUCUGAUCUACUCAUUAGGGAAUGGAAGUAUUGAAGCACAGGACUUUACAGAAUCUGAUUCUAAAACACAAUCACCACCAAAAAAAGAUUGAGAUUUGAGACUUCAGCUACUUUUAACUCUCCUUCAAAAUGUGCAUCUUCCAGCUCUAGUGGCACUAAGAACCUAAGGCUUAUCCAAGGAGGUUUGCCUUCUGAAAUUAAAUUGGAAAUAACUCUGACUUACUCAGAAGGGAAUGGAAGUAUUGAAGAACAGGACUCUACGGAAUCUCUAUAUGAUUCUAAAAUACAUUCUCCAUCAAAAAAAAAGAUUGAGAUUUGACACUCCAACUACCAAUGAUUCAGAAGAAACACUGACUUUAACCUCUCCUUCAAAAUGUGCAUCAUUUAGCUCUAGUGCCACUUUCUCUAGGAAACGAAGAAUAUCCAAAAUGAAGUCGAGACGGUUUUUCUCAAAUCCCCGCUAUACUGGAAACUAUUCACAUCGUCAUUUGGAAGACCCUAUGCUGCGAAAGAAAUACUUUAGAUUGUCUCGAAGAAUCCUGUCCAAUUUCAAGGUCAAAAAUAAAAUAUUGUGUGUGUCCAUCCUGAAGUCAAACAGCAGUCAAAAUUACAGUUGAGAAAAACCUUGGGGUAUCUUACCAAUGCCUCUCAAUUUGUAGUUGAUAUCUGUACCCAGGCUGAAAAGACAUUUAAGUGGACAGAAAAAAUUUUUUAAUAUAUUCGAAAAAAAUUAUUCGAACUUGUUAUCCCAUUUGGUUCUCACUACAUUGAAUAGUGUUGAUCCAAAAUUGUUCAAUGUUUUCAAUCAGCAUCUGUUUGAUGAUGAACCAGAGACAAUCCAUGGUCCUGUUAUAACGAAAAUGAUUCUAAAUGAUUCUGGAAACUUAUUUCAAUUUGAGGAUUCACCACGAAUUGAGAAAUCGACAGAGUGCAAAAUUAAAUUUGAAUAGGUUGAGAAGCAGGUUGACGAAAACUAUAUUCGAAAAUCAAUAGAUUUUUCUAAUAUUUAAAACCAAUAAUUUUAUUUAUACUGCAUUUCUGUGAUAAAUUUAUCCUGUUGUUUUAUUGAACCAAUAGAUUUUUCUAAUAAUAUUUGUAAACCAAUAUUUUAUAUUUAU
This is a long non-coding RNA of Harmonia axyridis, 1659 nucleotides long. RefSeq lists it as uncharacterized. The record is from RefSeq and is a predicted model, not a curated record. NCBI's taxonomy places the organism in Eukaryota, Metazoa, Arthropoda, Insecta, Coleoptera, Coccinellidae. The transcript has 4 exons.